UACGUAGGGGGCAAGCGUUGUCCGGAUUUAUUGGGCGUAAAGAGCGUGUAGGCGGCCAAACAGGUCAGCUGUGAAAACUCGAGGCUCAACCUCGAGACGUCGGUUGAAACCGUUUGGCUAGAGUCCGGAAGAGGAGAGUGGAAUUCCCGGUGUAGCGGUGAAAUGCGCAGAUAUCGGGAAGAGCACCCGUGGCGAAGGCGGCUCUCUGGGACGGUACUGACGCUGAGGAGCGAAAGCGUGGGGAGCGAACAGG
RNAcentral lists this ribosomal RNA (253 nucleotides) under uncultured bacterium. Its description in RNAcentral is "partial 16S ribosomal RNA". It matches the Rfam family "Bacterial small subunit ribosomal RNA", at positions 524 to 776 of the family's 1533-position model. The record is from RNAcentral.